RNAcentral lists this unclassified non-coding RNA (240 nucleotides) under soil metagenome. Its description in RNAcentral is "partial contains 5.8S ribosomal RNA, internal transcribed spacer 2, and large subunit ribosomal RNA". The record is from RNAcentral.
AACUGAUACUACCUGCGGGAACCUGCGGAGGGAUCAUUAAAGAGAGAGGGGGCUUCGGCCCUCAAACCUCCCAACCCAUUGUGAACGAUACCUUUAGUUGCUUUGGCGGGGCGAGGUCGCAAGGCCCCGUCGGCCCUUAAUCGGGCUGGCGUGUCCCCGCCGAAGGAUCUCAAAAUUCUUGCUUUUGAAAACCCAUUUUUAGUCUGAACAUAUUGAAAUUAAUAGCGAUAAAACUUUCAA